This 214-nucleotide unclassified non-coding RNA is filed under the name soil metagenome. RNAcentral describes it as "partial contains 5.8S ribosomal RNA, internal transcribed spacer 2, and large subunit ribosomal RNA". The record is from RNAcentral.
AACGCACGAGACCUGCGGACCUGCGGAGGGAUCAUUAUCGAGUUUACAACUCCCAAACCAUUGUGAAUCUUACCUUUUCGUUGCUUCGGCGGGAUCGCCCCGGGCGCUUCGGUGCCCCGGAUUCAGGCGCCCGCCGGGGGACCUAAACUCUUGUAUUAUAGUGGAUUUCUGAGUGGAUUACACAAAUAAUCAAAACUUUUAGCAACGGAUCUCU